AUUGAACGCUGGCGGCAGGCCUAACACAUGCAAGUCGAGCGAGCGGCGGACGGGUGAGGAAUGUCUGGGAAACUGCCUGAUGGGGGGGGAUAACUACUGGAAACGGUAGCUAAUACCGCAUACCAUCAGAUGUGCCCAGAUGGGAUUAGCUAGUAGGUGGGGUAACGGCUCACCUAGGCGACGAUCCCUAGCUGGGCUGCGAGGAUGACCAGCCACACUGGAACUGCGCCACGGUCCAGACUCCUACGUGAGGCAGCAGUGGGGAAGAUUGCACAAUUGGCGCAAGCCUGAUGCAGCCAUGCCGCGUGUGUGAAGAAGGGAUUCGGGUUGUAAAGCACUUUCAGCGGGGAGGCGUUACCCGCAGAAGAAGCACCGGCUAACUCCGUGCCAGCAGCCGCGGUAAUAC
Molecule: ribosomal RNA, 406 nt
Filed under: uncultured bacterium
Lineage: Bacteria
Description: partial 16S ribosomal RNA
Rfam family: Bacterial small subunit ribosomal RNA
Source: RNAcentral